This 1013-nucleotide unclassified non-coding RNA is filed under the name Cyanobium sp. 0YB4. RNAcentral's name for it is "bacterial SSU rRNA". It matches the Rfam family "Bacterial small subunit ribosomal RNA", at positions 481 to 1493 of the family's 1533-position model. Lineage: Bacteria; Bacillati; Cyanobacteriota; Cyanophyceae; Synechococcales; Prochlorococcaceae. The record is from RNAcentral.
GAGGAAUAAGCCACGGCUAAUUCCGUGCCAGCAGCCGCGGUAAUACGGGAGUGGCAAGCGUUAUCCGGAAUUAUUGGGCGUAAAGCGUCCGCAGGCGGCCUUGUAAGUCUGUCGUUAAAGCGUGGAGCUUAACUCCAUUUCAGCGAUGGAAACUACAAGGCUUGAGUGUGGUAGGGGCAGAGGGAAUUCCCGGUGUAGCGGUGAAAUGCGUAGAUAUCGGGAAGAACACCAGUGGCGAAGGCGCUCUGCUGGGCCAUAACUGACGCUCAUGGACGAAAGCCAGGGGAGCGAAAGGGAUUAGAUACCCCUGUAGUCCUGGCCGUAAACGAUGAACACUAGGUGUCGGGGGAAUCGACCCCCUCGGUGUCGUAGCUAACGCGUUAAGUGUUCCGCCUGGGGAGUACGCACGCAAGUGUGAAACUCAAAGGAAUUGACGGGGGCCCGCACAAGCGGUGGAGUAUGUGGUUUAAUUCGAUGCAACGCGAAGAACCUUACCAGGGUUUGACAUCCUGCGAAUCCCUUGGAAACGAGGGAGUGCCUUCGGGAGCGCAGAGACAGGUGGUGCAUGGCUGUCGUCAGCUCGUGUCGUGAGAUGUUGGGUUAAGUCCCGCAACGAGCGCAACCCACGUCUUUAGUUGCCAGCAUUCAGUUGGGCACUCUAGAGAGACCGCCGGUGAUAAUCCGGAGGAAGGUGUGGAUGACGUCUGGUCAUCAUGCCCCUUACAUCCUGGGCUACACACGUACUACAAUGCUACGGACAAAGGGUUGCAAGCUCGCAAGAGUUAGCUAAUCCCAUAAACCGUGGCUCAGUUCACAUCGUAGGCUGCAACUCGCCUACGUGAAGGAGGAAUCGCUAGUAAUCGCAGGCCACCAUACUGCGGUGAAUACUUUCCCGGGCCUUGUACACACCGCCCGUCACACCAUGGAAGUUGGCCAUGCCCGAAGUCGUUACUCCAACCCUUGUGGAGGAGGACGCCGAAGGUGGGGCUGAUGACUGGGGUGAAGUCCUAACA